This 213-nucleotide unclassified non-coding RNA is filed under the name Hevea brasiliensis (rubber tree). Lineage: Eukaryota; Viridiplantae; Streptophyta; Magnoliopsida; Malpighiales; Euphorbiaceae. The record is from RNAcentral.
AAAGCCAAUAUGUAUAAAGUGGUUCAAGGGCUUCAUACAAGUGCAUGAUUGAAGAAUAAUGCUCAACAUCUCAGUGAUUGUUUAUGAUGGAAAAAUGAUGACCUUGGGUGGGUAAAGCUUACGAAGAAUUGGAAUUUUAGGCNNNNNNNNUUUUGCUGAAUAAAUUCGGGUGCUUUUUGAUAGCUACUAAAAUCAUUAAGAUAUGAGACUGCC